Molecule: ribosomal RNA, 395 nt
Filed under: uncultured bacterium
Lineage: Bacteria
Description: partial 16S ribosomal RNA
Rfam family: Bacterial small subunit ribosomal RNA
Source: RNAcentral
AUACGUAGGGUGCAAGCGUUAAUCGGAAUUACUGGGCGUAAAGCGUGCGCAGGCGGUUUUGUAAGACAGAGGUGAAAUCCCCGGGCUCAACCUGGGAACUGCCUUUGUGACUGCAAGGCUAGAGUACGGCAGAGGGGGAUGGAAUUCCGCGUGUAGCAGGGAAAUGCGUAGAUAUGCGGAGGAACACCGAUGGCGAAGGCAAUCCCCUGGGCCUGUACUGACGCUCAUGCACGAAAGCGUGGGGAGCAAACAGGAUUAGAUACCCUGGUAGUCCACGCCCUAAACGAUGUCAACUGGUUGUUGGGUCUUCAUUGACUCAGUAACGAAGCUAACGCGUGAAGUUGACCGCCUGAGGAGUACGGCCGCAAGGUUGAAACUCAAAUGAAUUGACGGGG